RNAcentral lists this ribosomal RNA (445 nucleotides) under uncultured bacterium. RNAcentral's name for it is "bacterial SSU rRNA". It matches the Rfam family "Bacterial small subunit ribosomal RNA", at positions 354 to 796 of the family's 1533-position model. The record is from RNAcentral.
GUAAGGAAUAUUGGGCAAUGGACGCAAGUCUGACCCAGCCAUGCCGCGUGGAGGAUGAAGGUCCUCUGGAUUGUAAACUUCUUUUAUCUGGGAAGAAACCCAUGAUUUCUAUUGUGGUUGACGGUACCAGAUGAAUAAGCACCGGCUAACUCCGUGCCAGCAGCCGCGGUAAUACGGAGGGUGCAAGCGUUAUCCGGAUUCACUGGGUUUAAAGGGUGCGUAGGUGGGUAAGUAAGUCAGUGGUGAAAUCUCCGGGCUUAACCCGGAAACUGCCGUUGAUACUAUUUAUCUUGAAUAUCGCGUAGGUAAGCGGAAUAUGUCAUGUAGCGGUGAAAUGCUUAGAUAUGACAUAGAACACCAAUUGCGAAGGCAGCUUACUUCACGAUCAUUGACACUGAGGCACGAAAGCGUGGGGAGCAAACAGGAUUAGAAACCCGGGUAGUCC